UACACGUUUUUAAACAUCCUUUUGUGUGUAAGUGUGCAUAAGUACAUGCUAACGAUAUUCAAGAAGUACAUACCUCAAAGAAAACGAUGACACGAGUUAUCGUCUCUAACGUUCGAGGACUACAAAAAACACUCGGAUUGUAGGCAACAGUUUACUUCCUGGGAUUGGUGACGUAGAUAAGACCAACAUUAUCAUAGUUCAGCCCUCUCUGCUUUGCUUGGGUACGCCCUCAAAGACGAGGGUGGGGAGCGCCGAGUCAGAAGACAGCUAAAAUGGCGGAGGUUGUGAGUUCCUGCUUUGACCCUGUUUGCAAGCUCUUGUUUCAUUGUUUAAGCGAUUAAAUCUCUCGAGUAGACGCUGUCUCUUUAGAUGCGAGGGCAAAAUAGCACUUUAUGGACUUCCACAGAGGACAUCAUGUUUAAUACGGUUCCGGAAAAAUCCAGUCAGAAGUUGUUCACGGAGUUUUCACAAUAACUGCUUCUCAUGAACCGAAGCUGGAUUUGCGCGAAGUCUCCUCUUGAAAGUUGGAUUACUGCACUUCUGGAUCACAGGCUAUUCGCAGCUGGACACAUCCUUCUACACUGUAUGCAAACAUGCAACAUCAUUACACACAGUACAAGGAGUCAGACUGGCAUAUGAGGAGCAAAGGAACCCAGGCAGUAGCAUCGUUUCACAAUGUUUCCAUCACCAUCAUCAGUGGAUGCCUUUGCUGUCCGUAGCCUGAGAUUUCAGAUUUGCAGCAAAAAAAAAUUUAUUUUCUCAUUUAUUGGAAUGCUGUGCAGGUAUUUGUACCUUGCAGCCAUCCAUUACAAUGUCACCAAGCCGUAACAAAAGCAGGAGAGGGAAAGUACAAGGCUAUGUUCCCAAAACACACAAGUGACAUACCUUAUGUGGAUGAUGUGAUCAGGCUUGUGUUUGAUGAGGUAUUUGAAGAUAAGCUGAAGGAAGCCCUGAUUCCAAUGGACCUGGCAUCACAGUUUGAGAGACCUUCAAAGGAGGACGUGAUUGCAUGCCAUCUUCAGUGCAG
This is a long non-coding RNA of Paramisgurnus dabryanus, 1027 nucleotides long. RefSeq lists it as uncharacterized. NCBI's taxonomy places the organism in Eukaryota, Metazoa, Chordata, Actinopteri, Cypriniformes, Cobitidae. The record is from RefSeq and is a predicted model, not a curated record.